RNAcentral lists this ribosomal RNA (588 nucleotides) under uncultured bacterium. Its description in RNAcentral is "bacterial SSU rRNA". It matches the Rfam family "Bacterial small subunit ribosomal RNA", at positions 102 to 686 of the family's 1533-position model. The record is from RNAcentral.
ACGGGUGAGUAAUGCAUCGGAACGUGCCCAGUAGUGGGGGAUAGCCCGGCGAAAGCCGGAUUAAUACCGCAUACGACCUGAGGGUGAAAGGGGGGGAUCGCAAGACCUCUCGCUAUUGGAGCGGCCGAUGUCAGAUUAGGUAGUUGGUGGGGUAAAGGCCUACCAAGCCGACGAUCUGUAGCUGGUCUGAGAGGACGACCAGCCACACUGGGACUGAGACACGGCCCAGACUCCUACGGGAGGCAGCAGUGGGGAAUUUUGGACAAUGGGCGCAAGCCUGAUCCAGCCAUGCCGCGUGCGGGAAGAAGGCCUUCGGGUUGUAAACCGCUUUUGUCAGGGAAGAAAUCUUCUGGGUUAAUACCUCGGGAGGAUGACGGUACCUGAAGAAUAAGCACCGGCUAACUACGUGCCAGCAGCCGCGGUAAUACGUAGGGUGCAAGCGUUAAUCGGAAUUACUGGGCGUAAAGCGUGCGCAGGCGGUUUUGUAAGACAGAGGUGAAAUCCCCGGGCUCAACCUGGGAACUGCCUUUGUGACUGCAAGGCUUGAGUGCGGCAGAGGGGGAUGGAAUUCCGCGUGUAGCAGUGAAA